RNAcentral lists this unclassified non-coding RNA (354 nucleotides) under soil metagenome. RNAcentral describes it as "partial contains 5.8S ribosomal RNA, internal transcribed spacer 2, and large subunit ribosomal RNA". The stretch from base 1 to 120 matches the Rfam family "5.8S ribosomal RNA", at positions 35 to 154 of the family's 154-position model. The record is from RNAcentral.
GAUGAAGAACGUAGCGAAAUGCGAUAAGUAAUGUGAAUUGCAGAAUUCAGUGAAUCAUCGAAUCUUUGAACGCACAUUGCGCCCGCCAGUAUUCUGGCGGGCAUGCCUGUUCGAGCGUCAUUACAACCCUCAGGCCCCCGGGCCUGGCGUUGGGGAUCGGCGGAAGCCCCCUGCGGGCACAACGCCGUCCCCCCAAAUACAGUGGCGGUCCCGCCGCAGCUUCCAUUGCGUAGUAGCUAACACCUCGCAACUGGAGAGCGGCGCGGCCACGCCGUAAAACACCCAACUUCUGAAUGUUGACCUCGAAUCAGGUAGGAAUACCCGCUGAACUUAAGCAUAUCAAUAAGCGGAGGA